RNAcentral lists this ribosomal RNA (397 nucleotides) under uncultured bacterium. RNAcentral describes it as "partial 16S ribosomal RNA". It matches the Rfam family "Bacterial small subunit ribosomal RNA", at positions 523 to 918 of the family's 1533-position model. The record is from RNAcentral.
CUACGUAGGUGGCGAGCGUUGUUCGGAUUUAUUGGGCGUAAAGGGUCUUUAGGAGGUUCGUUAAAUGCGGGGUGAAAUCCGGGGGCUCAACUCCCGAACUGCCCUGUAGACUGAUGGACUAGGGUACUGGAGAGGUAAGCGGAAUACCAAGUGUAGCGGUGGAAUGGGUAGAUAUUAGGUAGAACACCGAGAGCGUAGGCAGCUUCCGGGACUUUAACCGAUUCGGAAGGACGAAAGCGUGGGGAGCAAACAGGAUUAGAUACCCUGGUAGUCCACGCCGUAAACGUUGUCAACUUGAUGUGGGCGGAUUUGAACCCGUCCGUAUCGAAGCUAACGCGAUAAGUUGACCGCCUGGGGACUACGGCCGCAAGGCUAAAACUCAAAUGAAUUGACGGGG